RNAcentral lists this ribosomal RNA (232 nucleotides) under uncultured bacterium. RNAcentral describes it as "partial 16S ribosomal RNA". It matches the Rfam family "Bacterial small subunit ribosomal RNA", at positions 524 to 755 of the family's 1533-position model. The record is from RNAcentral.
UACGAAGGUGGCAAGCGUUGUUCGGAUUUAUUGGGCGUAAAGGGUGCGUAGGCGGCGGAGUAAGUUGGGUGUGAAAUCCCGGGGCUCAACCUCGGAAUGGCAUUCAAUACUGCUUCGCUAGAGUACUGGAGAGGAGGCUGGAAUUUACGGUGUAGCAGUGAAAUGCGUAGAUAUCGUAAGGAAGGCCGGUGGCGAAAGCGAGCCUCUGGACAGUUACUGACGCUGAUGCACG